ACCACUUCUCAAUAUUUUGAAUGAGAUCAAGUGUAGUAUCUGCUCUUACCAGUUUAGUGUCUAGUAAGUCCUCCAUCUAAGGACGGCAAAUUAAAUGGAGUUUUGGACCUGGGAGGAGGAAUAGGAGCUUGUUCUUUGACUUGGCAUUGCAGUAAGAAAACAAAACCCCAC
RNAcentral lists this small nuclear RNA (171 nucleotides) under Mus pahari (shrew mouse). Its description in RNAcentral is "predicted gene, 23887 (MGP_PahariEiJ_G0033502.1)". It matches the Rfam family "U2 spliceosomal RNA". Rfam says of the family: U2 is a small nuclear RNA (snRNA) component of the spliceosome (involved in pre-mRNA splicing). Complementary binding between U2 snRNA (in an area lying towards the 5' end but 3' to hairpin I) and the branchpoint sequence (BPS) of the intron results the bulging out of an unpaired adenosine, on the BPS, which initiates a nucleophilic attack at the intronic 5' splice site, thus starting the first of two transesterification reactions that mediate splicing. Lineage: Eukaryota; Metazoa; Chordata; Mammalia; Rodentia; Muridae. The record is from RNAcentral.